This is a long non-coding RNA of Caretta caretta (loggerhead turtle), 1023 nucleotides long. RefSeq lists it as uncharacterized. NCBI's taxonomy places the organism in Eukaryota, Metazoa, Chordata, Testudines, Cheloniidae. The record is from RefSeq and is a predicted model, not a curated record.
CUAUCUGGAAACAUAACGCAAAAUUCGAUUAGGCGAGAGAGAGCAAGAGGGGUCAGCCACGGGGGGUUGUCAACUUUCGCCACUGGUACUAUCAAGCCACCACGGCAGACGGAAGAGCUAUCUAAAGUUUUGAAUCUGCAUAGGCACACGUCAAGGUUAGAAUACCUGAAGCCAGGAAGGACAGACAAUGCCCAAUACAAAGUUAUUGACUGUGGAAUAGGCAGCUGGGGUUGACUGAUACAUCUGCAACUGCUAUGAUGUGUUUUCCUCCCCUAUGGCAGGGGAGUAUUUCAAAGAAUCACCUGCCACCAAGGAUGCAGGCUCUCCAGCCCAGCAGUUCUCGAGCAUCUCCUGCAGCUCCAAUGUAUUCUGAAGUACCGUGAUGUCACAAAAACUAAAAACAUGCCUCUGUGUUCAUACGAAGUGUAUCCAAUCUCAGAGGAUUAGUAAUUAAAAAGGGCGGGGAGACAUCCUUCCAGAAUGACUUCAAGAAAACUUGGCCAAUCAUUCAGCAGAGUAACAACCAUUAUCUUGGGCAACACCAGGAAAUGAACAUGGAGUCUCUACCGCUUGAACUGAAGGAUGAAGUCUCUUAGCUGGUAGCUACAGUAGACUUAUAUCUUCUGUAAAUCAGGAAGAGAGGGGGGUGCCCAAUACAAACUGAACUAUAGGUUCUAGAAAUUCUCCUAAAAACGAUAGAAAAAGAUUGAUAUUAACACUAAGGAGCAAACAGACUAGUGCCUCAUAACCCAUCUGAAAGAGAAUAAUUAUUUAUGGUCUCUUGUCUCUAUUGUAUCUUAAUCUAUUUACAAUGUAACCUCUUUGGGGCAGGGACUGUCUUUUCGACUUGUGUGUGCAGAGCACCUAGCACAGGGGUCGGCAACCUUUCAGAAAUGGUGUGCCAAAUCUUCAUUUAUUCACUGUAAUUUAAGGUUUCGCAUGCCAGUAAUACAUUUUACAUAUACAGGGGCCUGGAGACAGAACCCCAGCCUGGCAGCGGGCUGAGCGGGGCCGCUGCCGAUC